Molecule: ribosomal RNA, 1103 nt
Filed under: Sulfuritalea sp.
Lineage: Bacteria; Pseudomonadati; Pseudomonadota; Betaproteobacteria; Nitrosomonadales; Sterolibacteriaceae
Description: bacterial SSU rRNA
Rfam family: Bacterial small subunit ribosomal RNA
Source: RNAcentral
GAACUGAAGAGUUUGAUCCUGGCUCAGAUUGAACGCUGGCGGAAUGCUUUACACAUGCAAGUCGAGCGGCAGCGCGGGGGCAACCCUGGCGGCGAGCGGCGAACGGGUGAGUAAUGUAUCGGAACGUACCCAGUCGUGGGGAAUAACCAGCCGAAAGGUUGGCUAAUACCGCAUACGUCCUAAGGGAGAAAGCGGGGGAUCGCAAGGCCCUCACGCGAUUGGAGCGGCCGAUAUCGGAUUAGCUAGUUGGUGAGGUAAAGGCUCACCAAGGCGACGAUCUGUAGCUGGUCUGAGAGGACGACCAGCCACACUGGAACUGAGACACGGUCCAGACUCCUACGGGAGGCAGCAGUGGGGGAAUUUCGGACAAUGGGGAAACCCUGAUCCAGCCAUUCCGCGUGAGUGAAGAAGGCCUUCGGGUUGAAAGCUCUUUCAGCAGGAACGAAACGGCUCUCUCUAACAUAGGGAGUUAAUGACGGUACCUGAAGAAGAAGCACCGGCUAACUACGUGCCAGCAGCCGCGGUAAUACGUAGGGUGCGAGCGUUAAUCGGAAUUACUGGGCGUAGCGUAGCAGGCGGCGCCAUAAGACAGAUGUGAAAUCCCCCGGGCUUAACCUGGGAACUGCGUUUGUGACUGUAGUGCUCGAGUGUGGCAGCCCGCAACGAGCGCAACCCUUGCCGCUAAUUGCCAUCAUUAAGUUGGGCACUUUAGUGGGACUGCCGGUGACAAACCGGAGGAAGGUGGGGAUGACGUCAAGUCCUCAUGGCCCUUAUGGGUAGGGCUUCACACGUCAUACAAUGGCGCAUACAGAGGGCUGCGAAACCGCGAGGUGGAGCCAAUCCCACAAAGCCGAUCGUAGUCCGGAUCGCAGUCUGCAACUCGACUGCGUGAAGUCGGAAUCGCUAGUAAUCGUGGAUCAGCAUGUCACGGUGAAUACGUUCCCCGGGUCUUGUACACACCGCCCGUCACACCAUGGGAGUGGGUUCCACCAGAAGUAGGUAGUCUAACCGCAAGGAGGGCGCUUACCACGGUGGGAUUCAUGACUGGGGUGAAGUCGUAACAAGGUAGCCGUAUCGGAAGGUGCGGCUGGAUCACCUCCUUU